This 587-nucleotide ribosomal RNA is filed under the name uncultured bacterium. RNAcentral's name for it is "bacterial SSU rRNA". It matches the Rfam family "Bacterial small subunit ribosomal RNA", at positions 338 to 916 of the family's 1533-position model. The record is from RNAcentral.
CCUACGGGAGGCAGCAGUGGGGAAUUUUGGACAAUGGGCGAAAGCCUGAUCCAGCAAUGCCGCGUGAGUGAAGAAGGCCUUCGGGUUGUAAAGCUCUUUUGUCAGGGAAGAAACGGUGAGAGCUAAUAUCUUUUGCUAAUGACGGUACCUGAAGAAUAAGCACCGGCUAACUACGUGCCAGCAGCCGCGGUAAUACGUAGGGUGCAAGCGUUAAUCGGAAUUACUGGGCGUAAAGCGUGCGCAGGCGGUUUUGUAAGUCUGAUGUGAAAUCCCCGGGCUCAACCUGGGAAUUGCAUUGGAGACUGCAAGGCUAGAAUCUGGCAGAGGGGGGUAGAAUUCCACGUGUAGCAGUGAAAUGCGUAGAUAUGUGGAGGAACACCGAUGGCGAAGGCAGCCCCCUGGGUCAAGAUUGACGCUCAUGCACGAAAGCGUGGGGAGCAAACAGGAUUAGAUACCCUAGUAGUCCACGCCCUAAACGAUGUCUACUAGUUGUCGGGUCUUAAUUGACUUGGUAACGCAGCUAACGCGUGAAGUAGACCGCCUGGGGAGUACGAGUCGCAAGAUUAAAACUCAAAGGAAAUUGACGG